CUUGUGACUGUCCUACCUUCGUAUCCAAGCAGUGGAGCAGACCGGACCGGCAGAUGCUCAGGUUAGAUGGAUCCAGACGCAGACAUGAGGAUGCAAUCAAACGUGGGUUUAUUUGAUCCGGAGCAGCAACAUACGGUUAUACAAUACAGGGAUGCAGUAGCAGUGUAGAUGCUGUCAUGUGGAUGUCUUUCCUGAGGCUAACUGCUGAGGCAACUGCUGAAGCAACUGCUGGUCAAAAACUGAUGCCUUACCAAGCCAAGAUGUGUGUCUCCAG
Bufo gargarizans (Asiatic toad) is the source of this 274-nucleotide long non-coding RNA. RefSeq lists it as uncharacterized. Lineage: Eukaryota; Metazoa; Chordata; Amphibia; Anura; Bufonidae. The transcript is spliced from 3 exons. The record is from RefSeq and is a predicted model, not a curated record.